This 432-nucleotide ribosomal RNA is filed under the name uncultured bacterium. RNAcentral's name for it is "partial 16S ribosomal RNA". It matches the Rfam family "Bacterial small subunit ribosomal RNA", at positions 29 to 507 of the family's 1533-position model. The record is from RNAcentral.
ACGAACGCUGGCGGCAGGCCUAACACAUGCAAGUCGCGCGAGGACUUCGGUCCUAGCGGCGGACGGGUGAGUAACGCGUGGGAACGUGCCCUUUGCUUCGGAAUAGCCCUGGGAAACUGGGAGUAAUACCGGAUGAGCCCUUUGGGGGAAAGAUUUAUCGGCGAAGGAUCGGCCCGCGUUGGAUUAGGUAGUUGGUGGGGUAAUGGCCUACCAAGCCGACGAUCCAUAGCUGGUUUGAGAGGAUGAUCAGCCACACUGGGACUGAGACACGGCCCAGACUCCUACGGGAGGCAGCAGUGGGGAAUCUUAGACAAUGGGGGAAACCCUGAUCUAGCCAUGCCGCGUGAGCGAUGAAGGCCUUAGGGUUGUAAAGCUCUUUCAGCUGGGAAGAUAAUGACGGUACCAGCAGAAGAAGCCCCGGCUAACUCCGUG